CCCGGAAGGACGCUGCGGCCAGAGUCUCUCCCUCAAGCUUGGCCAGGGAGGGUGAGAAGUGGAAUGAAGGGGCCCUGGCGGUCAUUCCUCCUUCGGACCAGUGAGCUCGUUAACUGAGAAGCUGACUGUAAUGUUUGGAAGUAAUUAGGGCUGCAUCCAAUUGCUCCAGGAACGGGGUUCCUUUCAUUGGAUGAAAAAGAAAGUUACUUUAACCCUCUGGGAAAUAUCACAGGAGGUUCAACUUGUGUGCACACACAUUUGCAUUAAUAUUUGCUGGUUACUGCAUCACCUUCCACAUACUGGGAAUUUCGGUUUAUUUUGCGGAAAGAAGGGGUAAAGUAGGAAUCUUGUUCUUGUCUUUCUGCGGGGAACAGCUUCCCUGGGCUCCCCCCUUUCUCUGGCCACUGAGUUAAAUGCUUUUCAGGGUCUUACCCCAGAGUCCUCGGACCUCAGGCUCCUGACCCUCUCUGACCUGCUCAUGUUCUGCCCACCUUAGAGACGUGAUGGCCAUUUCCUGUAUCUGACCCACCCUGUCUUCCCAGGCUGGGG
RNAcentral lists this long non-coding RNA (549 nucleotides) under Homo sapiens (human). Its description in RNAcentral is "HSALNT0159259". Lineage: Eukaryota; Metazoa; Chordata; Mammalia; Primates; Hominidae. The record is from RNAcentral.